This 301-nucleotide unclassified non-coding RNA is filed under the name Hevea brasiliensis (rubber tree). The record is from RNAcentral. Lineage: Eukaryota; Viridiplantae; Streptophyta; Magnoliopsida; Malpighiales; Euphorbiaceae.
AUUUUUAAUGAGCAGGCAUCCUUUAACCUAAAUAUCAGCACAAUCUUUGGAUUUUUAGAUCUCCUUCCAUGAUAGUUUUGUCAUUACUUUCCAAUCAGAAAGUGGACUUCUCCCCUUUAUUUAGAGGUUUAAUUUCCAAUCAAGCACAUUGCACAAUGACAAAGUGUAUUUACCUUUGAGCUUAAUCUCUAUGAUAAAGUAGAGCAAUAAGUCGAGGAUAUUUGAUGUUUAAUUACAGUAUUAGACUCUUGGGUAUUAUGUGUUACAACUUGCAACAGGAAUGGCAUACAACAGAGGAGGA